RNAcentral lists this unclassified non-coding RNA (253 nucleotides) under uncultured Eubacteriales bacterium. RNAcentral's name for it is "contains 16S-23S intergenic spacer region". It matches the Rfam family "Bacterial small subunit ribosomal RNA", at positions 524 to 776 of the family's 1533-position model. Lineage: Bacteria; Bacillati; Bacillota; Clostridia; Eubacteriales. The record is from RNAcentral.
UACGUAGGGGGCAAGCGUUAUCCGGAUUUACUGGGUGUAAAGGGAGCGUAGACGGUUCUGCAAGUCUGGAGUGAAAACCCGGUGCUCAACGCCGGGAUUGCUUUGGAAACUGUGGAACUGGAGUACCGGAGGGGUGAGCGGAAUUCCUAGUGUAGCGGUGAAAUGCGUAGAUAUUAGGAGGAACACCAGUGGCGAAGGCGGCUCACUGGACGGUAACUGACGUUGAGGCUCGAAAGCGUGGGGAGCAAACAGG